RNAcentral lists this unclassified non-coding RNA (213 nucleotides) under Ambisporaceae sp. RNAcentral's name for it is "partial contains 5.8S ribosomal RNA and internal transcribed spacer 2". The stretch from base 1 to 71 matches the Rfam family "5.8S ribosomal RNA", at positions 84 to 154 of the family's 154-position model. The record is from RNAcentral. Lineage: Eukaryota; Fungi; Glomeromycota; Glomeromycetes; Archaeosporales; Ambisporaceae.
GUGAAUCAUCGAAUCUUUGAACGCAUAUUGCACUCUCUGGUAUUCCGGAGAGUAUGCCUGUUUGAGGGUCAUUAAAAAGUAUCUUUAACCAAUUUUUUUUGGUUAAAGGAAAUGAGUUCUCCGCGUUUAUAGCGGUAGCUUGAAAUAAAUGGUAGUCUCAUUUUAGUCGAGUCGCGUAAUAAUUUUAUUUCGCGAAAUCUUUAUUAUCUGACU